CAGCCGCCACGGUAAUACGUAGGUCCCGAGCGUUGUCCGGAUUUAUUGGGCGUAAAGCGAGCGCAGGCGGCUAGAUAAGUCUGAAGUUAAAGGCUGUGGCUUAACCAUAGUACGCUUUGGAAACUGUUUAACUUGAGUGCAAGAGGGGAGAGUGGAAUUCCAUGUGUAGCGGUGAAAUGCGUAGAUAUAUGGAGGAACACCGGUGGCGAAAGCGGCUCUCUGGCUUGUAACUGACGCUGAGGCUCGAAAGCGUGGGGAGCAAACAGGAUUAGAUACCCGGGUAGUCCCUGUCUCUUAUACU
This 301-nucleotide ribosomal RNA is filed under the name uncultured bacterium. RNAcentral's name for it is "partial 16S ribosomal RNA". It matches the Rfam family "Bacterial small subunit ribosomal RNA", at positions 509 to 810 of the family's 1533-position model. The record is from RNAcentral.